UAACUAUUAAUUUAAAUAAAAAUAUUAAUUUUGUAAAUUAAAAAUAAAAAUUAUAAUUUUAUAGUUAA
RNAcentral lists this transfer RNA (68 nucleotides) under Encarsia obtusiclava. Its description in RNAcentral is "tRNA-Thr". Lineage: Eukaryota; Metazoa; Arthropoda; Insecta; Hymenoptera; Aphelinidae. The record is from RNAcentral.